CUUGGUCAUAGAGGAAGCAAAAGUCGUAACAAGGUUUCCGUAGGUGAACCUGCGGAAGGAUCAUUAACACGUGGUUAUCCAUGUUCCACCCUUCGUGCUUUUGGUGCGGUUGCCUCAAACAUUCUAGUGGAAAUUUGUUGGGAUGAACUUGGUUUCCAAGGGGAUUGGCCUUUUUCUUUUUUGGUAACGAAAAAGAAUUAGCCUUUUCCAUCCUUUUAGCAGUUUCCAUUUCGAUUCUUUUGAUUCGAAAACCCCGUAGUUAACUUAUUUCUAACUGAAAACUUAAUUGCUCUUUCAGACUUAACGGUUUGAAACCAAUUAUUUUACGAAACAUUUGACAACUCUUAACAACGGAUAUCUUGGUUCUC
This 368-nucleotide unclassified non-coding RNA is filed under the name fungal sp. Its description in RNAcentral is "partial internal transcribed spacer region". The stretch from base 1 to 66 matches the Rfam family "Eukaryotic small subunit ribosomal RNA", at positions 1766 to 1831 of the family's 1831-position model. Lineage: Eukaryota; Fungi. The record is from RNAcentral.